Dama dama (fallow deer) is the source of this 703-nucleotide long non-coding RNA. RefSeq lists it as uncharacterized. The transcript is spliced from 3 exons. Lineage: Eukaryota; Metazoa; Chordata; Mammalia; Artiodactyla; Cervidae. The record is from RefSeq and is a predicted model, not a curated record.
GGUAGGUUAAUAAAGGAUGUGGAAGCCACCGUGGGGAAUCGAUUCAAUCCGAUACACCCAGGAGACCCACGCCCCAUUAUCCAUUCACAAUAGUGGGUGGCUGCUGACACUCCCUUCAGCUUCCGAUUCCAGCCAGAGUCUUGCUGUCAUGGCCUUCACAGGAGGGUCAUACUCAGAUUAAUGAAGAAGUCUGGAAACAUCUUCUUAAUGAAGAAGUCAGGAUGUUGCCUUUUUCCGAAAGAAACUUGAAGUGGGUUAAGAUAAAGAUGUGUACACGUUAAGAUGAACAGAGCAGACGUGAACAGGACAAGCGGGAAACUGAGGAAAAGGAGACAACCUGACCUCAAGAACUAGCUAACCUCUGUGACUGAUGAUCAGACUGGGCUUCGAGAGCUGGUAUAUAAGGCAGCUAACAGGAAACCUGAAAUGUGCUUGCAGGAUCUCAGUUUCCGGACCAGGGAUUGAACCUGCACCAUUGGCAGUGAAAGUGCAGAUCCUAACCUCUGGAUCGCCAGGGAAUUCCCUCAAAUACCCAUUUUGUUUCACCACAUGAAAUUGAAGCUACAUUCAUUUUUAAGACUUUAAUUCUGGAACAAAAUGUCAUUGGGUUGGAAUCUCCUGGUACAGCCCCACACCGAGCUCCCUCUUCUGAAUCAGGAUCAUCUGAACCUUGCAUUUCAGCAAAUAAAAAGGAAUGAUUAAA